RNAcentral lists this ribosomal RNA (485 nucleotides) under uncultured bacterium. Its description in RNAcentral is "SSU rRNA". It matches the Rfam family "Bacterial small subunit ribosomal RNA", at positions 26 to 518 of the family's 1533-position model. The record is from RNAcentral.
AGAACGAACGCUGGCGGCAUGCCUAACACAUGCAAGUCGAACGCUCUUGAGGCUUCGGUUUCAAGGGAGUGGCGCACGGGUGAGUGGCGCGUGGGAACCUGCCCUGUUGUGGGGGAUAACCGAGGGAAACUUCGGCUAAUACCGCAUGCGCCCGGGGAAACCCGGGAAAGAUUUAUCGCAGCAGGAGGGGCCCGCGUCGGAUUAGGUAGUUGGUAGGGUAACGGCCUACCAAGCCUUUGAUCCGUAGCUGGUCUGAGAGGAUGAUCAGCCACACUGGGACUGAGACACGGCCCAGACACCUACGGGUGGCAGCAGUCGAGAAUUUUUCUCAAUGGGGGAAACCCUGAAGGAGCGACGCCGCGUGGAGGAUGAAGGUCUUCGGAUUGUAAACUCCUGUCAUUUGGGAACAAGGUGCGCGCGUUAACUGCGCGCGCAUUGAUAGUACCAGAAGAGGAAGAGACGGCUAACUCUGUGCCAGCAGCCGC